Molecule: ribosomal RNA, 497 nt
Filed under: uncultured bacterium
Lineage: Bacteria
Description: partial 16S ribosomal RNA
Rfam family: Bacterial small subunit ribosomal RNA
Source: RNAcentral
GAUGAACGCUGGCGGCGUGCCUAAUACAUGCAAGUCGAACGAACAGGCGAGGGCCUUCUUCCUCUGACCUUAGCCGCGGGCGGGUGAGUAACACGUGGAUCACCUACCUAUAAGACUGGUAUAACUUCGGGAAGCCGGAGCUAAUUCCGUAUAAUAUAUUUAACCGCAUGGUCCAUUUGUAAAGUACGGUUUUUCUGUCUCGUAUAGAUGCAUCCGCGCCGCAUUAGCUGGUUGGUAAGGUAACGGCCUACCAAGGCAACGAGGCGUAGACGACCGCAGGGACGGAUAGGCCACACUAGAACGCAACCACGGACACGACUCCUAAGGGAGGCAGCAGUAGGGAAUCUUACGCAGUGGGCGAAAGCAUGACGGAGUAACGCCGCGCGAGAGAUGACGGUCCUCGGAUCGUAAAAAUCUGUUACUAGGGAAGAACAAAUGUGUAAGUAAAUAUGGAGGUCUUGACGGUACCUACUCAGAAAGCCACGGCUAACUACGUG